Molecule: ribosomal RNA, 832 nt
Filed under: uncultured Flavobacteriales bacterium
Lineage: Bacteria; Pseudomonadati; Bacteroidota; Flavobacteriia; Flavobacteriales
Description: bacterial SSU rRNA
Rfam family: Bacterial small subunit ribosomal RNA
Source: RNAcentral
GCUAGCGGCAGGCUUAUACAUGCAGGCGAGGGGGCAGCAAUGUCACCGUCGUACGGGUGCGUAACNCGUNUGCAACCUACCUUCAACUGGGGGAUAGCNNGGGGAAACCCGGAUUAAUACCGCAUGACACAUUUGGAUCACAUGGUUUGAAUUGUUAAAGAUUUAUUGGUUGAAGAUGGGCAUGCGUUCGAUUAGCUAGUUGGCAGGGUAACGGCCUACCAAGGCAACGAUCGAUAGGGGAGCUGAGAGGUUGAUCCCCCACACGGGCACUGAGAUACGGGCCCGACUCCUACGGGAGGCAGCAGUAGGGAAUAUUGGGCAAUGGAUGCAAGUCUGACCCAGCCAUGCCGCGUGCCGGAUGAAGGCCCUCAGGGUUGUAAACGGCUUUUAUUCGGGAAGAAGAGCAGGGAUGCGUCCUUGUGUGACGGUACCGAAUGAAUAAGCACCGGCUAACUCCGUGCCAGCAGCCGCGGUAAUACGGAGGGUGCGAGCGUUGUCCGGAUUUAUUGGGUUUAAAGGGUGCGUAGGUGGCUUUAUAAGUCAGUGGUGAAAUACAGCCGCUCAACGGUUGAGGUGCCAUUGAUACUGUAGAGCUUGAAACAAGUGGAGGUUGCCGGAAUGGAUGGUGUAGCGGUGAAAUGCAUAGAUAUCAUCCAGAACACCGAUUGCGAAGGCAGGUGACUACGUUUGAUUUGACACUGAGGCACGAAAGCAUGGCGAGCAACAGGAUUAGAUACCCUGGUAGUCCAUGCCGUAAACGAUGAGGACUCGCUGUUGGGCUGUCAAGGUUCAGCGGCUUAGGGAAACCGUUAGUCCUCCACCUGGGGAGUAC